CGAGGACCCCCGCAGUGAGCCAGCUGCUAUAGAGUUUGUCAGAGCUAGCCAGAGGUGAGUGGAAUAAACCUUAAGUUUAAAUUAAUGAAAUAUGAAUUUUGAGCAUAACCAUGCAUCAUGAAUGUCAUGUGAUAUUUUAGGUUGUUUGCAUUAGAUUCCACGAAUAUGUUGCAUUGCAUACUUGAUGAUGUUGUGGAUGGGCAUUGAAUGAUCCUUUAGUCCUUGAUAUGUUAUGAUGAGGCAUGUUAUGGUAUGGUUGCCGGUUGUACCCAUUCUACGUCCCGGCCAGAGUAAGAGAAAGACCGGGUUGUACCCAUUCUACGUCCCUGGCAUCUUGGAACGUUAUGUUAUGUUAUAGUAAGAGGAAGUCCGGUUGUACCCAUUCUACGUCCCGGCAUUUUGGAAUGUAGAGGACUAGAGGUGACAAUACCAUCCUUAUGUGAUAUGAUUGUGAUGUGUUGCAUUUCAUGUAAGCAUAAGAUUUUAAUAUAUGUUUUUCCUAUUCUGCUCACUGGGCUUUGUAGCUCACCCCUCUCCCCUAACCCCAGAUGUGCAGGUACAGGGUAGACCAGGAGGUUAGCCAGAGUUUUGAAGGAUGUUUAUGUAAUAGUUAGGUUGUGGACAUGACAAUUGUACUAUGAUGUAAUGUAAAAGAUUAUAGCAUGUUAUGUAAUGAGAUAUAUUGAGGUUAUAGUUGUGCUUGACCCUAUG
Molecule: long non-coding RNA, 711 nt
Filed under: Manihot esculenta (cassava)
Lineage: Eukaryota; Viridiplantae; Streptophyta; Magnoliopsida; Malpighiales; Euphorbiaceae
Description: long non-coding RNA (MESC_LNC002741)
Source: RNAcentral